This 253-nucleotide ribosomal RNA is filed under the name uncultured bacterium. Its description in RNAcentral is "partial 16S ribosomal RNA". It matches the Rfam family "Bacterial small subunit ribosomal RNA", at positions 524 to 776 of the family's 1533-position model. The record is from RNAcentral.
GACGGAGGGGGCUAGCGUUGUUCGGAAUGACUGGGCGUAAAGGGCGCGUAGGCGGUUUUUUUAAGUGAGGCGUGAAAGCCCUGGGCUUAACCCAGGAGGUGCGUUUCAUACUGGAAGACUUGAGUACGAGAGAGGAAAGCGGAAUUCCUAGUGUAGAGGUGAAAUUCGUAGAUAUUAGGAAGAACACCAGUGGCGAAGGCGCUUUCUGGCUCGUAACUGACGCUGAGGCGCGAAAGCGUGGGGAGCAAACAGA